GACGAACGCUGGCGGCGUGCUUAACACAUGCAAGUCGAACGGACAGGCCCUGCUUUUGUGGGGUGCUCGAGUGCCGAACGGGUGAGUAACACGUGAGUAACCUGCCCUUGACUUUGGGAUAACUUCAGGAAACUGGGGCUAUUACCGGAUAGGAGAUCCUGCUGCAUGGUGGGGGUUGGAAAGUUUCGGCGGUAGGGGCUGGACUGGAUGGUUAUCCGCUUGUUUGUGGGGUAGUGGCUUCCCAAGGCUGUGACGGGUAGGCCGCCUGAGAGGCUGGCCGGGCACAUGGGGACUGAGAGAGGCCGCAGACGCCAACGGGAGGCAGCGGGGGGGAGCAUGGCACAGUGGGCGGAAGCCUGUGGCAGCAACCCCGCGUGCGGGAUGACCGGCUUCGGGUUGUAAACAGCUGUCGCCGGUGAUGAAGCGGGAGUGACGGUAAUGGGUAAAGAAGCACCGGCUAACUACGUG
Molecule: ribosomal RNA, 468 nt
Filed under: uncultured bacterium
Lineage: Bacteria
Description: partial 16S ribosomal RNA
Rfam family: Bacterial small subunit ribosomal RNA
Source: RNAcentral